AGUCGACGGCGCGCGGGGCACCUGGCGGCGAGUGGCGAACGGGUGAGUUUACAUCGGAACGUACCCAGAAGUGGGGGAUAACGUAGCGAAAGUUACGCUAAUACCGCAUACGUUCUACGGAAGAAAGUGGGGGAUCCUCGGACCUCAUGCUUUUGGAGCGGCCGAUGUCUGAUUAGCUAGUUGGUGAGGUAAAGGCUCACCAAGGCGACGAUCAGUAGCUGGUCUGAGAGGACGACCAGCCACACUGGGACUGAGACACGGCCCAGACUCCUACGGGAGGCAGCAGUGGGGAAUUUUGGACAAUGGGCGCAAGCCUGAUCCAGCAAUGCCGCGUGAGUGAAGAAGGCCUUCGGGUUGUAAAGCUCUUUUGUCAGGGAAGAAACGGUUGGGGCUAAUAUCCCCGGCUAAUGACGGUACCUGAAGAAUAAGCACCGGCUAACUACGUGCCAGCAGCCGCGGUAAUACGUAGGGUGCAAGCGUUAAUCGGAAUUACUGGGCGUAAAGCGUGCGCAGGCGGUUUUGUAAGUCUGACGUGAAAUCCCCGGGCUCAACCUGGGAAUUGCGUUGGAGACUGCUAGGCUGGAGUCUGGCAGAGGGGGGUAUAAUUCCACGUG
RNAcentral lists this ribosomal RNA (614 nucleotides) under uncultured bacterium. RNAcentral describes it as "bacterial SSU rRNA". It matches the Rfam family "Bacterial small subunit ribosomal RNA", at positions 60 to 675 of the family's 1533-position model. The record is from RNAcentral.